RNAcentral lists this ribosomal RNA (465 nucleotides) under Vreelandella stevensii. Its description in RNAcentral is "partial 16S ribosomal RNA". It matches the Rfam family "Bacterial small subunit ribosomal RNA", at positions 338 to 795 of the family's 1533-position model. Lineage: Bacteria; Pseudomonadati; Pseudomonadota; Gammaproteobacteria; Oceanospirillales; Halomonadaceae. The record is from RNAcentral.
CCUACGGGGUGCUGCAGUGGGGAAUAUUGGACAAUGGGCGAAAGCCUGAUCCAGCCAUGUCGCGUGUGUGAAGAAGGCCUUCGGGUUGUAAAGCACUUUCAGUGGGGAAGAAAGCCUUGGGGCUAAUACCCUCGAGGAAGGACAUCACCCACAGAAGAAGCACCGGCUAACUCCGUGCCAGCAGCCGCGGUAAUACGGAGGGUGCGAGCGUUAAUCGGAAUUACUGGGCGUAAAGCGCGCGUAGGCGGUCUGAUAAGCCGGUUGUGAAAGCCCCGGGCUCAACCUGGGAACGGCAUCCGGAACUGUCAGGCUAGAGUGCAGGAGAGGAAGGUAGAAUUCCCGGUGUAGCGGUGAAAUGCGUAGAGAUCGGGAGGAAUACCAGUGGCGAAGGCGGCCUUCUGGACUGACACUGACGCUGAGGUGCGAAAGCGUGGGUAGCAAACAGGAUUAGAUACCCUAGUAGUC